CUUGCUCAUUUUAACAUUUUUCUAAAAAUGAUACCUGUGCAGCGCAUAUUGGUUUAGGAGAUAUCAAAUGGCACACAUAAGAUUGGAAACAAUGAGCAAGAUUUUUGCAUUUUGAGAGCAUGCAUAUUCCACAAGAAAGAAAAAGGGGUUAGCAGCUGUUGCUAAAGAACCAUUGUUCUUGCAUCACCUUGUCUCCAUGGUCUAAAAACGGACAAGAAAAAGGAACUGGAGGACAUGAACCAUGGCCAUACCUGGAGGAGGGCUCGAAGGGAGAUGACCUUCCCAUCACGUUCGUGGAUAAGAACAGCGAAAACGCGCUGCUCCCUCACCUUGUGCAUGACGACGACGCUCAGCCCCGCAGCGGUGAGGAACACCAGAAGCAGCAGCAAGUACGGGAGCCUCUUGGCGGCGCUGCUGGCCAUCCCGUAGCCUUUUGGAUCUUGCUUGGUGCAGCAAUGCGGAGGAAACUAAUGGAGCUGCAGGUGCAGGGAAGAAGUGACUGCUGAGUGUCGACUAGCAAAUGUAGAGAUUACACAAGCUCUGGGCUGUUUAUCGUGGAUCGGACGGUUGUGAGGAGAAGCUGUUUUCGUGGAUCAUCAUGAAUGUAAAACCGACGGUAUCUGCGAUCUCCAGGCAACAAUCACCUCAAGAUGAGUAAUGUAUUCAUGGAGCAGCUGCAGGGGUUAGUGCUCCACCAUGCAGGCAGGACAACUAGUA
Long non-coding RNA from Lolium rigidum, 717 nucleotides. RefSeq lists it as uncharacterized. The transcript has 5 exons. The record is from RefSeq and is a predicted model, not a curated record. NCBI's taxonomy places the organism in Eukaryota, Viridiplantae, Streptophyta, Magnoliopsida, Poales, Poaceae.